Erinaceus europaeus (western European hedgehog) is the source of this 825-nucleotide long non-coding RNA. RefSeq lists it as uncharacterized. The transcript is spliced from 3 exons. The record is from RefSeq and is a predicted model, not a curated record. NCBI's taxonomy places the organism in Eukaryota, Metazoa, Chordata, Mammalia, Eulipotyphla, Erinaceidae.
GAAACAGAUCUGCAGGUUAUUUUAUUUUAUUUUAUGUUAGGCAGAGAGAUAGAGAGAGAGAGAGAGAAAUAAGGCACAGCACGAAAGCUUUCUUAAAUGUGGGGGAAGCCUGGGCUUGAAUCUGGAUUGCACACAUAGCAAAGCAGAGCACUACCCAGGUGAGUUAUUUUAUUUGAUUUGAUUUUACUUGUUAGAUACAUACAGAAAAACUGAGAGGGGGAGGUGGAGACAGAGAUAGAGAUAGAGACCUGUAGCACAUCUUCACUGCUCAUGAAGCUUCUCGCCUGCAGGUGGAGAGCUGAAGCUUGAAUCUGGGUCCUUGGGCAUGGUAACGUGUGUUCAACUGAGUACACCACUGCCCAGCACCUCAAGUGAGCUAUUUUUCUGAUCCCUAGACCAAGUUGGCAUACAAGAAUCAGAAGGAUGAAGGGUUAAACAAAGGAGACACACAAUCAACAAACAAAAACAGAAACUGGCCCCCGGGGAAUACACGGAGACACAGAGCAACUGGCCUCCAGGAAUACACAUACGGAGACACAGCAACUGGGUUAUUGCUGGGCUCGGUGCCUGCACCAUGAAUCCACCGCUCCUGGAGGCCAUUUUUCCCCCUUUUGUUGCCCUUGUUGUAGCCUCGUUGUGGUUAUUAUUAUUGCCCUUGUUGAUGCUAUUCGUUGUUGGAUAGGACAGAGAGAAAUGGGGAGAGGAGGGGAAGACAGAGAAGGGGAGAGAAAGAUAGACACCUGCAGACCUGCUUCACCGCCUGUGAAGCGACUCCGCUGCAGGUGGGAGCCCGGGGCUCGAACCGGGAUCCUUGCGCCGGUCCUU